CGUAGGUGGCAAGCGUUGUCCGGAUUUAUUGGGUUUAAAGGGUGCGCAGGCGGCCCUGUAAGUCAGUGGUGAAAUAUCUCAGCUUAACUGAGAGGGUGCCAUUGAUACUGCGGGGCUUGAGUACAGAUGAGGUAGGCGGAAUUGACGGUGUAGCGGUGAAAUGCAUAGAUAUCGUCAAGAACACCGAUAGCGAAGGCAGCUUACCAAGCUGUAACUGACGCUGAGGCACGAAAGUGUGGGGAUCAAACAGGAUUAGAUACCCUGGUAGUCCACACUGUAAACGUUGAUGACUCGAUGUUGGCGAUACACAGCCAGCGUCCAAGAGCAAUCGUUAAGUCAUCACCUGGGGAGUACGCCGGCAACGGUG
This 367-nucleotide ribosomal RNA is filed under the name uncultured organism. RNAcentral describes it as "bacterial SSU rRNA". It matches the Rfam family "Bacterial small subunit ribosomal RNA", at positions 526 to 896 of the family's 1533-position model. The record is from RNAcentral.